CAUCUCAAAAAGGGGGAUAUGGCGAAAUUGGUAGACGUAUAGUAAGAGGAAAAUCCGUCGAUUUCAAAAAUCAUGAGGGUUCAAGUC
RNAcentral lists this transfer RNA (87 nucleotides) under Helianthus tuberosus. RNAcentral describes it as "tRNA-Leu". The record is from RNAcentral. Lineage: Eukaryota; Viridiplantae; Streptophyta; Magnoliopsida; Asterales; Asteraceae.